This is a long non-coding RNA of Gallus gallus (chicken), 880 nucleotides long. Lineage: Eukaryota; Metazoa; Chordata; Aves; Galliformes; Phasianidae. The record is from Ensembl.
CAGAAAACAACCACAGCUUGCUUCUUUUGCUCCAGAAGACAGACUAUUCUAUUUGGUCCUGUGAGCAAAUUUGGGCAUGUAAGAGGAUGCUUCAGCCCCUAAACGCAUGGACGCUGAGGGGCCACUUCAGCAUUGCAGGCUGUUACCUCCUCAUUUGCUUCCUCGACCUACUGCUAGCAGUUGGAAUUUUCCUCUGAAGCGUUCUGCCUCUUGGUGUCCCCUCCACACGCACUCCAUUGUACUCAGCAGACAAAUAAAACAGUGGAGGGAUUACUGCCUCACGGGAGACAAAUACACUCACAAGACAACCUGAAUGCCUCACCCAACAAGCUCUUCACACAGCCUCCUGCACGCAUACAAUCUGUUGUGCAGUCAUCUAACCACGGGCUCUGCACCGCUUCCCAGGACUCCACAAUCACAGAUGGGCUAUGACUAAACUUUCCAUGGAGACAUUCCUCUGAUGAUAAACCAACACAGCCCCUAAUCCUUUUGUCAAUAAAUACAUUGCCCAGGAGAAUGAAGGUCAAGAACGAUCUAUAUAAAAGCAGAGAAUGAUGUAGGGUAGGGGUCUUCAUAUUUAAGACAUUGAGCUGGAGUUUAUAUAUGACCUUAGAAGAAGGGAAAACAUACCUGUAUUGGUUGAAACACAACAGUCGUCAGACACUUCGAAUGACUGCCUGCACAGCCUGCAGGGCAGGAGGAAGACAAUGCAGCCUUUCUGUACAGGCCACUUCUACUUUGAACAUUCCUGUCAACCUGAGUGAUAACAGGGGUCAACUAUCAAAACCAAAAUGAACUCACAGAUGUCCAGGAGCACUGAAAGAUUCAUUUUCUUUGCAGAAGAGGAGAAGAAAUUCACUUACAUACUUCAGGGGGAAAG